RNAcentral lists this non-coding RNA (29 nucleotides) under Rattus norvegicus (Norway rat). Lineage: Eukaryota; Metazoa; Chordata; Mammalia; Rodentia; Muridae. The record is from RNAcentral.
UAAGAUACGAGUAACCCCUCUGCCUUCCA